RNAcentral lists this long non-coding RNA (278 nucleotides) under Helianthus annuus (common sunflower). RNAcentral describes it as "sRNA HanXRQr2_Chr07g0309231". Lineage: Eukaryota; Viridiplantae; Streptophyta; Magnoliopsida; Asterales; Asteraceae. The record is from RNAcentral.
UUGUCCGGCUAUUGCAAUGGCAUCCUUUUUUUGUCGGAAAUCCCGAAUUCCAGCCACCACCGGUCCGUUUUCGCCGGAAUUCUCCUCUUAAAUGAGCCAGAAAAAGUACUUUUGAAGUUGGACGUUGACAAUUAUUAAUCAGCUUUACUUUCUUUUGGGUGGGAGAAGCUUCUUAUCUUGAUGUUGUUCGAGUAUGACAAAGAUUGCUUGAACCGACGAACCAGAUCGAUAGUUGGUUAGGUUUUUUGGGGGUUUAGUUUUUAGCAUUUUAGCUUUGG